UCCUCCCUCUGGCGGCGCGCCUAACACAUGCAAGUCGAACGGAGCUGAGAGAAGCUUGCUUUUCUUAGCUUAGUGGCGAACGGGUGAGUAACGCGUGAGUAACCUGCCCUGGAGUGGGGGACAACAGUUGGAAACGACUGCUAAUACCGCAUAAGCCCACGAUCCGGCAUCGGAUUGAGGGAAAAGGAUUUAUUCGCUUCAGGAUGGACUCGCGUCCACUUAGCUAGUUGGUGAGGUAACGGCCCACCAAGGCGACGAUUGGUAGCCGGACUGAGAGGUUGAACGGCCACAUUGGGACUGAGACACGGCCCAGACUCCUACGGGAGGCAGCAGGGGGGGAUAUUGCACAAUGGGGGAAACCCUGAUGCAGCGACGCCGCGUGGAGGAAGAAGGUUUUCGGAUUGUAAACUCCUGUCGUUAGGGACGAUAAUGACGGUACCUAACAAGAAAGCACCGGCUAACUACGUG
Molecule: ribosomal RNA, 468 nt
Filed under: uncultured bacterium
Lineage: Bacteria
Description: partial 16S ribosomal RNA
Rfam family: Bacterial small subunit ribosomal RNA
Source: RNAcentral